UAUUAGCGUUACUCAAAAAGUACGAAAAAUACUCUUACGAUUUCUCUCUGUGGUCCCAUGAUGCCUUCACAAUUUCCCGAUCUCUCUCCUGAUCUAAUCUUUAGGCCUAACAAUUCUCUUAAUUUGUCUAAUUUGGAAAUCAAUAUUUGAAAUUUUCAAUUGAUUUCUUAAGUAUAGUAUGACAAUUCUCAACGAUUGAUGAAGCUUUUCACCAUUUUGUUCUCAGACGACUGACAAGGAAUCUCGAAGAAUUUGUUCUCCGGCGGAUCGAGACAAGUUUGGUUAGUUUAGGAGGCUCAUUUGAGUGAUGACUCCUUUCUUAGAUACUGCAAUACCAAGGAGCUGCUUCAAACACAUUUGAAAAGGAUAGGAGGUAGAGUUUUAACUCGCUUUCCUCAUGAACCAAAUGGCUAUUUGCAUAUAGGUCAUGCCAAAGUGCAAUGCUUAUAGACUUUGAACUCGCUAAAGAAAGAGGUGGAGGAUGCUAUCUAAGAUGAGGAAGCUCUUUUUUAACUUUGUUGUGUACCUUAUAUUACUGCAAAGGAAAAAAAAGGAAAAAGAGAAGUAUCAAUUGACAAUUUUGUAUUUCUUGAAGCUAUAAAAAAGAGAAGCCUGAAAAGAUAUGAUAACGACUAUUCCUACAAUAAAGGGUGUCCCGCUGUGUGAUUGUCUAGAAUAUUAAGUUAUCCUAAUUAAAGGAAAUAUUUAUUGUAAUUGAUUUGUAAUAAUUUGUCUGUUAUGAUUUUGAGGAGUCCUUAUCUACACGUGUAAUGAGCUAAGGCUGAAAGUCAAUUGUACCGUUUAUAUAUAUAUAAAUAAAACACCGUGGGAAAAAGCGGUGAACAAAUAUUCUUCUCCCUAAAAUCUAAA
Long non-coding RNA from Humulus lupulus (European hop), 870 nucleotides. RefSeq lists it as uncharacterized. The transcript has 3 exons. The record is from RefSeq and is a predicted model, not a curated record. Lineage: Eukaryota; Viridiplantae; Streptophyta; Magnoliopsida; Rosales; Cannabaceae.